GCAGUGUUGGUUCAGUGGUAGAAUUCUCACCCUCCAUGUGGGAGACCUGAGUUUGAUUCCCAGCCAAUGCA
This 71-nucleotide transfer RNA is filed under the name Loxodonta africana (African savanna elephant). It matches the Rfam family "tRNA". From Rfam's summary of the family: Transfer RNA (tRNA) molecules are approximately 80 nucleotides in length. Their secondary structure includes four short double-helical elements and three loops (D, anti-codon, and T loops). Further hydrogen bonds mediate the characteristic L-shaped molecular structure. tRNAs have two regions of fundamental functional importance: the anti-codon, which is responsible for specific mRNA codon recognition, and the 3' end, to which the tRNAs corresponding amino acid is attached (by aminoacyl-tRNA synthetases). tRNAs cope with the degeneracy of the genetic code in two manners: having more than one tRNA (with a specific anti-codon) for a particular amino acid; and 'wobble' base-pairing, i.e. permitting non-standard base-pairing at the 3rd anti-codon position. Lineage: Eukaryota; Metazoa; Chordata; Mammalia; Proboscidea; Elephantidae. The record is from Rfam by way of RNAcentral.